Molecule: ribosomal RNA, 269 nt
Filed under: uncultured archaeon
Lineage: Archaea
Description: partial 16S ribosomal RNA
Rfam family: Archaeal small subunit ribosomal RNA
Source: RNAcentral
CAGCACCUCAAGUGGUCAGGAUGAUUAUUGGGCCUAAAGCAUCCGUAGCCGGCGCUGUAAGUUUUCGGUUAAAUCUGUACGCUCAACGUACAGGCUGCCGGGAAUACUGCAGCGCUAGGGAGUGGGAGAGGUAGACGGUACUCGGUAGGAAGGGGUAAAAUCCUUUGACCUAUUGAUGACCACCUGUGGCGAAGGCGGUCUACCAGAACACGUCCGACGGUGAGGGAUGAAAGCUGGGGGAGCAAACCGGAUUAGAUACCCGUGUAGUC